UAGGGAAUAUUGGACAAUGGGUGAGAGCCUGAUCCAGCCAUGCCGCGUGCAGGAAGAAAGCCUUCUGGGUUGUAAACUGCUUUUUUCAGGGGAUAAAAUACGCGUGCGCGCGGAAUUGCAAGUACCUGGAGAAUAAGCCACGGCUAACUACGUGCCAGCAGCCGCGGUAAUACGUAGGUGGCAAGCGUUGUCCGGAUUUAUUGGGUUUAAAGGGUGCGUAGGUGGUGAUUUAAGUCAGUGGUGAAAUACGGCAGCUCAACUGUCGAGGUGCCAUUGAUACUGGGUCACUUGAGUACUGAUGAGGUAGGCGGAAUGGACGGUGUAGCGGUGAAAUGCUUAGAGAUCGUCCAGAACACCGAUAGCGAAGGCAGCUUACUAAGGAGUAACUGACACUGAGGCACGAAAGUGUGGGGAUCAAACAGGAUUAGAUACCCUGGUAGUCCACACUGUAAACGAUGAUUACUCGAUGUUGGCGAUACACAGCCAGCGUCUUAGCAAAAGCGAUAAGUAAUCCACCUGGGGAGUACGCCGGCAACGGUG
Molecule: ribosomal RNA, 540 nt
Filed under: uncultured bacterium
Lineage: Bacteria
Description: bacterial SSU rRNA
Rfam family: Bacterial small subunit ribosomal RNA
Source: RNAcentral